RNAcentral lists this long non-coding RNA (5480 nucleotides) under Homo sapiens (human). Its description in RNAcentral is "HSALNT0347190". Lineage: Eukaryota; Metazoa; Chordata; Mammalia; Primates; Hominidae. The record is from RNAcentral.
ACCAGGAAGCCUUGCCUGCCAUGCCAACUUCAACAGUCUAGAGAGGGGGCUUGCCAUCAUCAGUUUGGAGGUGAGGACGCUGUGGUUCAGAGAAGUGAGGUGGCUUCUCCGAGGUCACACAGUCCAGUGAGAGAGCUACGAUUUAAACCAGGUCCGUCUUAAUCCACUGAAUGUGCUAUAUCAGGAGAGAAAGGUUUUGCUUGGAAUCUGCCAUCAGCAAUGCCGAGGCCUGGCCUUGGUGGAAAUGGAGGUGCUGCUUAACUUUUCUUCCAAAACAUAGUACAACCCUAGUCAUCCUGGUAGAGGACCUUUGGAGAUGUGAAUGAAAACAGCUGUCUGAACAAGUGGUACCCUAACUAGCGCGGCUGAAUGAGUCCCUGGCUGCCUUUCUGGGAAGGGAAUGGCUUCCUGUGGUGAUGAACGAAGCCAGCCAAGUGCAGGUCGAGGCAUGCUCUCCACCCUCCCUAGAAGCUGUGCCACCAACGAAAGCUUUUCCCUGCACCUGUAGUAGAGGUUUGCUGAGCAUCUCACCCAGUGUCAGCUGAGUUGCAGCAGCAACAGGACAGAUCUUAGAUUUCUGGAAGAGCUUCACCAUCCUGAACACACGUGGGAGAAAAGCAGGGAUCCCGAUCUGCUGCCAAAAUGAGAUCUCCCUUACGGCAAUGUGGUGGGAGCGGCUGAGCAAAUGAACUAAUAGCACAAAGCAGGAAAUCUGUAGAGAUGGCAGCCGGUCACAUUUCUCCUAUAGACACAAUUAUAUCUUGAUUGUACGUUUUCUGGAGCUCCAGUCUAGUCUCAUCAUUCCAUCUACUGGGCUAUGGAGGAUCAUCUUUGAGAUCAGGCGGCAUCUCAGCAAGUGGCUUGGUUGACUUUGACUUUGGCAGCCUUGACUAACUCAGUGGAAAAGGGGUUUUCUACAUUUACCUCCAUUCAUGUUAUUGUCUACAAUGUUUUGCUCCUCACUUGCAAUAGAAGAAAGAAAGUUAGUCAAGAGCACAGCUGGUGGCAAUUUUGCUCUGAAUUCAGAGGUUGUGGAGCAAACAGGAAAUUUCAUGCUGCAGCCGUGGUGGAGGCCAACUGAGCUUUAGUGACUUACAUGGUGUGUCCACAACCUGCUUCCCGUGAAAUUGCCUAUAAGCAUGGACAACCUGGGAAGCUGCGGCUGAGCUGCUUCUCUAGAAGCCUCUCUGGAUUUCAUAACUAGGCUCCUUCUAGCAUUUAGUAAAACUGUACUCUCCUAUGCCUUAGAUUGACUGAACUUGGCCUGUGCCCUAUUUUAAAAGUCAGCUGGGCUUCUAAAGCAUGAGAGUAGGCAGUCCAUGGAGAGUCGUCUUCUCCCAUCGUAAAGAUUCAGGAGAUCUCUCAACUCCUGGCAAGGAGUAUGCUGUGUUCCUGGCUGAACGAACUCACUUACCUCAGUCUAGAACUUAACCUGAGGCACGCACACCUUUGGUAAUGUUUGUGAUUCUAAUGAUGUCUAAACUGAUCCUCCUGGCCUGGUGUCAGCCACUUGUGAGAAUCUCACACUCCAUUUAGACUCAGGAGACCUACUUCUCAUCCAGAAUAUUUUCCUAAAAAAAAUAAACUUCAUCCUGUGUCAAAUGAAAGGGUCAAACUCAACAAUCACUAAGGUCCUAUCAGCUCUAGAAUGUUCUAAUUUAUCUUAUUCUAGCUUUGCUGGAAGUUGAGACCAGCUGUUUACUCUCAUUAAGAGAGAGUCUCACUCUCCCAUUAUCAUUCUAGAAUGUCUUAAGCUCCCAUAUCCUCAUCUUAGCUUUUGCUCUUUGCUCCACUAAAGCAAAUCUCCAUUUAUUUGGCCUUUUCUCAGAGGGACAAUUUUCCCAAACAUAUCAUCAUCCAUGUAGACAUGGAACCUUUUGGGACCCUCUCUAAGGUCUUUACAUCAUCCUGCAAUUGUACCUUCCAAGCAGAACACCAAUACAAGCUUAACUGGAGUGGGAUGAUGUGGUUGGGUAUGGAUACAGUCAGAUUCUGCCUUUCCAAGCCUUGCUUCUGUGAGAGCUAAACAAUUUCAGGGAGCUUGCAGCCCACUGUCAUCUGCAGUUGGGUUCAUUUAGAGUAGAGGCCACGUUAGCUGUAUUAUAAACAUGGUGGCCAACAAUGAAUGGCCUGGACUCAUUCUCCUCUUGGCUUGUGCAGAGAGAGGCCAGUCAGGUGGCUUAGAGACGUUGUUGGCAGGAACCAUCACUGCCUCUAUUUGGGAAUGAAGGACCAUAAAUGGUGGCUGCCUUCCAAACUGCCAAUAAAUAAGUAAAUAUAGAGAGUGUUGACAUUGGUCUCCCUGCCAAACACCAGUCUGCUUCUAUUCUCAUUUUGGGGGAAACGAAAGAGAGAAGGAUUAUUGAAUAGGCUUUUGAGAAGUAGCCUCAGUUCUACUUGGAAUCUCUUCCCUUUUUGGAAACAUUUCAGUCGGCUUUCUGGCCCUUAUUGGAGAGAGAGACAAUUCUGUCAAACAUGAGAUUGUGUUAGCUUAUUCAUAAUAAUGAUCAGCAAUAGGCUGAAAUUGAGCCACUUCUAAGGUUGAACUGUUGUCAACAGAUACUUCAGCUAUAGUUUGGAAUAACAGCUUAGCCCCUGAGAGGGAGGGUGUGAAUUUAGCAUGCAGCCAACUCCAAGACAGUUUAAGGUGCUGGCCAAGCACGUGGCACUUUAGGAAUACUCAGCUUUGGGGCUCAACUUCCUCUCAGCCCACAGAUUUACCAGGUUUUUAACCCCUGCCUCCUGAGUUAGAAGGUUUUGUGAAUUGAUUCAGUCUGAAGUUGGACAACAUGGCAGCAUGUUUCUCAGCAUGGAAGGCAUUGAGAAGACAUAGCUUGCUUACUUUUGCAUGCCUCAUGCUUAACAUGGUGUCUGUCACAUCAAAGGCACUUCAUAUCUACUUGUGCAAUGGAUGAAUGAAUUUAGAGAUGCUUUGCUUCCUCUCUGCUGUUAUCAAUAAUCUCAGACUGUUCCUGUAUUUUGAAUUACUCCAGAGCCACACUCUAGGAUAUCUGAAGUUUAGGAUUUGGCUCUUUCACAUGCUUCUGUUGCCACCUACCCAUGUCCAACUAUCUUCUCCUUAACACCUACCCCACCAGCAUGAUGGAGGGCUCUCUAUAAAGGCUCUCCUAGCCCAUGCUGCACACACUUUUUCCUGUUCUGAAGCAUGUCUCUAGAAAUUCUACACACUUGCUUCCCCCCUUUAAAAAAAUCAUUUCACUCCUUUCCUGUUCCUUUUCCCACUUCUCUUGAGAACUUUCAAGAGCCUGCAAUAUAAACAGCUCUAAAUGAGAAAAUCUGACUGAGAAACUGAGGAAAGAGAAGGCCAAGGGCCAAUGGAGGAGUCGGGCACAAUAACUUCUCUUUUCAUGAGAUUCGGUGGGGUUUUCUCCUUGGAUGGCUGGUCUCCUGGGCAGAGCUGCUAGCCUUAAAGGGCCACAUACGUUAGAUUUCCACGGUUGUGUUUUGUUUGUUUGUUUGUUUGUUUUUGAGAUGGAGUCCCGCCCUGUCGCCCAGGCUGGAGUGCAAUGGCGCGAUCUCAGUUUACUGCAACCUCCACCUCCCGGGUUCAAGCGAUUCCCUUGCCUCAGCCUCCCAUGUAGCUGUGACUACAGGCACACACUACCAUGACUGGCUAAUUUUUUUUUUUUUUUUGUAUUUUUAGUAGAGACGGGGUUUCACCAUGUUGACCAGGGUGGUCUCGAACUCUUGACCUCAGGUGAUCCACCUGCCUUCGCCUCCCAAAGUGCUGGGAUUACCGCAUGAGCGCACCCGGCCUCCAUGGUUGUUUUGACAGCUGAAGUGCAAAGGAAUUAAUUUUUCUAUUUUAUGUUAUUUUAAAAAUAAUUUUACCUUUUAUUUUAGAUUCAGGGGGUACAUGUAUAGGUUUGUUACAUGGGUAUAUCGCAUGAUACUGAGUUUUGAGUUAUGAAUAACCCUGUCACCCAAGUAGUGAGUAUAGUAUCCAAUAGUUAUUAUAGUUUUUCAGCCCUUUCCCCUCUUUCUUACUGGCCCCUACCCCCAGUAGUCCCCAGUGUCUACUGUUCCCAUCUUUAUGGCCAUGUGUACCCAAUGCUUAGAUGCCACUUAUAAGUGAGAACAUGUGGUAUUUUGUUUUCUGUUCCUGUGUUAGACAUUAACCCUUUAAGUCAAAGUCUUCUAUAGUUUAGUUACUGCUUUUCUUCAAAGUGUGAUUUAUUAUUCACCUCUUAAGGCAUGAGUGUCAGAGCACAUUCACACGCACACACACUGGAUGCUACUGGGUUUUUUACGAGUUUAGACAUGACCGAUUUCCCUGCACAUCCUCACGGCAUCUGAAUAACCCAAGACUUCCUACUAAUGGUUUCAAGAGGAGACUUUCAGGUAAUUAGGGAGAUUCUGUUUUCCAAGAAAAGCUCUUCUUUUCAGAAGUCUGAUUCCAAGGAGUUGUAGAUGAUUGCUUCAUUUUGGGAGCUGGUAUAGUUUAACGAGCAGCUUAUGCCACACUGAUCUCUAGCAUAUUUGUAUCGACAAGGAGACACAAGCCUGCAUGAUUGUGGUUUUUUCCCUAGGUUCCUAAUAGACCUUUGUUAUUUAUAUUUUUAAUUGUGUGAAAGUACCUGAAAGCUUAGUGGCAAAGAAGACAGUUGUAAAAAAUUGAAUAAAUAAAUACAUUUAAAAAAAUCCAAGUUAGUGAUGUCUGACUUCCUCUAUUCAUGUUAUUGCUACUCUUGUUGCUUUUUGGUUUUUGUUUUGCUUCUUGACUGUUGUUGUUUUCCAGGAAAGCUGUCAUUUAUCGUGAGAACAAGAGCAGCCAUGUGUUGAUUUUUCUGGAUUCUUUUUGGAUACUAUCCCAGUGCUAAUGAAGGCCCUUCCAAAGUGCUAAAGAGCUGGUGCCAAAAUCAGUUACGCUGAAAACAAUAGAGAGUGGUACACAGACAGCAUAUAUAUACCCGUAUAUGUAUACGCACGCCUCGAUAUCUGAAUUAAUACGUGUGUGUGCACCUCCCUCUGUUUAUGCAAAUAUACACACGCAUCUGUGCAAACACAUAAUGUGUGCGCCGGAGCUACACUGAGGAGAAUGUGACGGCUGCAUUUUAAUAAAAGGACUUUUUAUAGCUGCUUGCAGAAAAUUUUUCUUUGAUCAAGGGAUGAGCAAAGUUUCUAAAUGUUGCAGCGCCCGAAUUUGUCAGUUUGGAAGCUACUAAAAAUGUACUUUCAUCAGUUAAAAAAUUUAGGGAGGAAAAUAAAUAUUAUAGAUAGUAUUUGUUUUACUAGGAGAUGAGGAUACUACUACAAGAAGCACCUGGAAAGUGCUUAGCAUAGGCUUGGUUGCUGUGCUUAUAUUAACAAAUUCUUUAACAUGGAUGUUUGCGUACUUUAGAGGUAGUUUAUUAGCUGAAAGAGGGGACAUUUUGUAGCUGGGCUCUCUGUGCCCUCAAUAGAUUUUCCCUGCCUUUCUCCCAAUGUGUAAUUAUUCUGUCCUCAAUUUGUUUACACAG